UUUAAGGUUGCAGAGUACUACCAUGAUCCCACUUUACAUUAUUGGGCUCGGUUUCCUGGCUAGGCCGAAAAAGUGUACGAACAUUGACUAGGGCCCAGCCCCAUUUGCAUCUCUAACUGGAUGUACAGUAGAUGAUUUACAUAUGGCAGAAGGCUAGAGUGGCAUGCAGGGUAUCGAGAAGUUUACCUUAGCAUGCACAAUAUCUUGAGAAGUUUACGUUACGCGCUCAUGAAUUUAGGCAGCAUGGGGUUGUAUUCUUUUCUUUUAUUUUUUUCCCCUUUUUUGCUAGUGUUGCUAUGCAAUUUGG
RNAcentral lists this long non-coding RNA (307 nucleotides) under Elaeis guineensis (African oil palm). RNAcentral describes it as "long non-coding RNA (EGUI_LNC006169)". Lineage: Eukaryota; Viridiplantae; Streptophyta; Magnoliopsida; Arecales; Arecaceae. The record is from RNAcentral.